Molecule: ribosomal RNA, 471 nt
Filed under: Microbacterium sp. CZ245b
Lineage: Bacteria; Bacillati; Actinomycetota; Actinomycetes; Micrococcales; Microbacteriaceae
Description: bacterial SSU rRNA
Rfam family: Bacterial small subunit ribosomal RNA
Source: RNAcentral
UUGGCUUAAGUCCCGCAACGAGCGCAACCCUCGUUCUAUGUUGCCAGCACGUAAUGGUGGGAACUCAUGGGAUACUGCCGGGGUCAACUCGGAGGAAGGUGGGGAUGACGUCAAAUCAUCAUGCCCCUUAUGUCUUGGGCUUCACGCAUGCUACAAUGGCCGGUACAAAGGGCUGCAAUACCGUGAGGUGGAGCGAAUCCCAAAAAGCCGGUCCCAGUUCGGAUUGAGGUCUGCAACUCGACCUCAUGAAGUCGGAGUCGCUAGUAAUCGCAGAUCAGCAACGCUGCGGUGAAUACGUUCCCGGGUCUUGUACACACCGCCCGUCAAGUCAUGAAAGUCGGUAACACCUGAAGCCGGUGGCCUAACCCUUGUGGAGGGAGCCGUCGAAGGUGGGAUCGGUAAUUAGGACUAAGUCGUAACAAGGUAGCCGUACCGGAAGGUGCGGCUGGAUCACCUCCUUUCUGCGGCCGC